This 593-nucleotide ribosomal RNA is filed under the name bacterium. RNAcentral's name for it is "bacterial SSU rRNA". It matches the Rfam family "Bacterial small subunit ribosomal RNA", at positions 848 to 1441 of the family's 1533-position model. The record is from RNAcentral.
GGAGCUAACGCGUUAAGUCGACCGCCUGGGGAGUACGGCCGCAAGGUUAAAACUCAAAUGAAUUGACGGGGGCCCGCACAAGCGGUGGAGCAUGUGGUUUAAUUCGAUGCAACGCGAAGAACCUUACCUACUCUUGACAUCCACGGAAUUCGGCAGAGAUGCCUUAGUGCCUUCGGGAACCGUGAGACAGGUGCUGCAUGGCUGUCGUCAGCUCGUGUUGUGAAAUGUUGGGUUAAGUCCCGCAACGAGCGCAACCCUUAUCCUUUGUUGCCAGCGAUUCGGUCGGGAACUCAAAGGAGACUGCCGGUGAUAAACCGGAGGAAGGUGGGGAUGACGUCAAGUCAUCAUGGCCCUUACGAGUAGGGCUACACACGUGCUACAAUGGCGCAUACAAAGAGAAGCGACCUCGCGAGAGCAAGCGGACCUCACAAAGUGCGUCGUAGUCCGGAUCGGAGUCUGCAACUCGACUCCGUGAAGUCGGAAUCGCUAGUAAUCGUGGAUCAGAAUGCCACGGUGAAUACGUUCCCGGGCCUUGUACACACCGCCCGUCACACCAUGGGAGUGGGUUGCAAAAGAAGUAGGUAGCUUAACCU